Molecule: ribosomal RNA, 516 nt
Filed under: uncultured bacterium
Lineage: Bacteria
Description: bacterial SSU rRNA
Rfam family: Bacterial small subunit ribosomal RNA
Source: RNAcentral
AGAGUUGAUCAUGGCUCAGGAUGAACGCUAGCGACAGGCUUAACACAUGCAAGUCGAGGGGCAGCAUAAAAGUAGCAAUACUUGGUGGCGACCGGCGCACGGGUGAGUAACGCGUAUGCAACCUACCUAUCAGAGGGGAAUAACCCGGCGAAAGUCGGACUAAUACCGCAUAAAACAGGGGCACCGCAUGGUGAUAUUUGUUAAAGAAAUUCGCUGAUAGAUGGGCAUGCGUUCCAUUAGGUAGUUGGUGAGGUAACGGCUCACCAAGCCGACGAUGGAUAGGGGAACUGAGAGGUUGGUCCCCCACACUGGUACUGAGACACGGACCAGACUCCUACGGGAGGCAGCAGUGAGGAAUAUUGGUCAAUGGGCGGGAGCCUGAACCAGCCAAGUCGCGUGAAGGAAGAAGGAUCUAUGGUUCGUAAACUUCUUUUGCAGGGGAAUAAAGUGCAGGACGUGUCCUGUUUUGUAUGUACCCUGAGAAUAAGGAUCGGCUAACUCCGUGCCAGCCGCUGC